This is a long non-coding RNA of Lolium rigidum, 2935 nucleotides long. RefSeq lists it as uncharacterized. The transcript has 5 exons. The record is from RefSeq and is a predicted model, not a curated record. NCBI's taxonomy places the organism in Eukaryota, Viridiplantae, Streptophyta, Magnoliopsida, Poales, Poaceae.
ACCACACCCAACCCUGCUUGCUCUCCCAAGGUUCCUGGAACGGGAGGUGAGGGGUCGACGCCACCAACUACCACGACAUGAACGCCCUCCACCAGAGACGAUGGGUGACUGUGGAGGAGCUGUCGCUGCUGGUGCUGACGAAGAUGCGCCGGAGGGAGCACUAGGUGGUGAGGUCCGUUUCCUCAUCUACAUGUUCAACAAUAAGGAUUCAAAGUCUCCACAUUGUCAACUCAACAUAGAUGAGCCCUUACGGCACCAACCGAGGAACAUGCUAUCAUAGUCUAUUGCAUUUUAUAUGCUCAUACAUUAGCAGGAAAUUGUUUUUCAUGCCUCCUGUUGUGUUCUACCACCCUUCACAGUACGGAGCAUCAAGAAUUCUGAAUGCCCAAGUGAGCUUGUGCCUGUUAAUGGGAGGUCUAACGUGAAUGUAAAUCUUGUCUAUAAGGAAGAAAACUGUUCUAAAAUAUCUUCAGUGAGUCAGUCAAGCGCCCUGCUUCAUUUUAAGGACGGGGCAGAAGUGCAGAACUCACAGCACCUUCUGAAAACUCUGCUCCUUUUGAUAUUGCUUAUUCAGCUACUGCUUCUAGUACAACGACUACCACCAUCAAGGAGACAGUUUACUUGUUUGUUGCUUAACUAUGUAGUUAAAAUAAAUAAGCAACUUGUAGAGUUUAAUCUAGUAUUGAUGAUUGCUACGGUUUGCCUUUAAAAACUCUACUCCAUUUUACUAAUUUCGCACAUCUCACAAAUACCCAUCUACAGACUGUAGAGUAUAAUCCAGUACUGAUGAUUGCUAUGAUUUGUCUUUGAACAAUGCUAUUUUUUGAGCUAUUGCCACUUUGAGUUACUGUACGCUUGUAGUUUGGAGAUAUCUCCAGUUCUCUGACACAUAGUUCUACUCUUCUGUGAUCGAGAGGUUUGAGAAGGAAGCUUCUGAGAAUAACAAGAGGUCUUUCAAGUAUGCCUGGGAGCUUGGUAAGCUUAAGGCUGAGCGUGAAGCAGACCUGUGAGCAUGCUCUCUUUGCUUUCACCUUUGGAGUGAAGCAGGUGAUCUGCUGCUGCAAAAAGGAAGGACCAGAAACAGAAGCAGGCCUCCUUGGAUGUACAUCGAACUACUGUGCUACCCCUCCUUCCAGACCAAGGCAACGCACAUGGUGUAUGUCGCUGGCCUUCACUGAGGAGAAGAUUGACGAAUCCACCGCAGAUCUCCUCUGCCCGCUCGUGUGAAGGUAUCCACCACCCCCUUCUCCAAAUCCCCAUAUCCCUCUUUAGCUAUGACCCACUUACCGUUCUCGCUAGUGAUUCCCUGGCUUUGUACUCCCUGUCUUUGAAUGUUUUGUGCUAGAACGAAACAUGAUAAUUAGUUUUGCCAUUGUUAUGUUUCUGUAUAUUUCAAUUAUUCAACCAGUUCACUGUUUGAUUUUUCCAUAGAAUUUUAUAUAGUUAAAACAAGUAGUAGUUUCGUUUGGCCAAGCAAGAUAAUAUGAGCACUCUGAUAUUCAACUACUGCUAGAAAGCAUUCUGAUUACUAUAAUGAAAACAACUCGAUUUGAAAUAUUGAUAUAUUCUGUGAUACAUGAUCAUUAUGUUAGCAUUUUAUUACCUAAACUCCUAGCUAUUGUAAGUUCCUACUACUUAGAGCUGGUGCUUCUCACACACGUAUAGUGGACACACACUGAACUCAAAGGUAGAACUGAAUGACACAAGUACUUUGGAGCAGCUCAAAGUUGCUGCGUUUUCUCUCUACUACUUGGUGUCCUGAACUGAUAAUAUGGGGCUUAUUUAUAGUUUUAUACUACUAGUGAGCUACACAAACCAGCUCACGUACUACACCUCUAGUGUGAACAAUUGACAAGUGGAAGCUGAGAAUGUCAAGCCGACUUAUCCCCUACAGGUUUCAGUUUUAUCUUCUGCAGCUUAUCACCUUGCAGCCUGCAGUUUUUGAUUUGCCUCUUGCCCACUUGCCCUACUUGCUGAUCCUAGGCGGCAUGCAAGGAUUCUGUUCACACAAAGCAAACUACCACUACUAGUAGAUGCACUUGUGGCUAAGAAAACUUACUACUACCACUCUACUAGCAACUGAUUAAACAACAGCUAUUACUUGGCAACUAAUUCUCUAACCUAUGAAUGAAUUAAAUGGUGCAAUGGAUAUCUUGCAUUCUGCUUGUGAAACUAUUAACUAUUUUGUAUUUUGCAUGGAAAAUAACAGUUUACUUGUGAAAAAAAGAAUGCAGCAACCAUCUUAAUUCACGUAAAAUAUUUAUGAUGAUGUUCACUAUGUCUUUCUAUUGCUUGUAGCCAAUGGUUCUCCAUUCUGGUUAAUCUGUCUUAUAUUAAUGUUGUCUUACAGGGAGGUAGAGAUAUGCAUCUAUGAGGUUGCCACGAUGUAUGUCCAAAAUUAUUUCGCAUAAUACAUUUGUAUUGCAAGUUCCAGCUUACGUUUUAUCACCUGAAAGCGUAUGUACUAAUAUGUGCUGAUCGCAUGAUAUGGUAGUUACCAGUUAAUGGCUAUGGAUUUUCCAACACUGUAGUUAGUCUAGGAGUCAGUCAUGUUCAUAUGAUCAUUGGCCUCUUUAUUUUACUUUUACAAGCAGUAGUGUAUGCACUUUGUUACACGUUAGUGAUGCUAUAUACUUGCAUGAUAUGGUAGUUACCAGUUAAUGCUUAUAUGCUUAUAUUCUUGUGCUUAGCGAGUGGAGUGUUGUCCUGUCAAGUAGUAACUUUUUCUUUGUGCAUGAAGAACUGACUGAUUUUGAUACUGGAAAGUAAAUUAACUAGCCUGAUUCUCAGUCUGACAAACCUCCUUAAAUAAGACUUGACAUCUUUAUCUGUCAAGUAGUACCAUUUAUGUAAUGUGUAACCUGUGGCCUGAGAUGUUAUGUCAUCUAGUUCCCUUUUACCCGAAUUCCUUGCUAUAUUGCCAUACCCCACAUGU